AGAGGACCCCGGAUGGAGAGGCGGCGCGCGGCGGUCCGUCGGCCCUUUGGAAUAAGCUGCCCUGGGAGGGUUUCCUCCUUGCAGUUCCUGCUCUCGCGCUAAUGCGGUGCGGGAAGAGGAACAGUACCCCUCAGAUGCCCAGCUUUAGACCUACCAGGUUUGGUUAUAUGCCUGAAAGCUGGACUGGAUCCUAAAUUCUUCUAAUUUCCUUAAAUGGCUGUGAUGAGCCAAACUGAAAUUUCCAAUUUUACUGCCCUUGAAAUCUCCUUGGAAGGGACUAUAUCGAGUCUUCCUCACUACCCUGGUGGCAGCCAAACUUGAGAGACUUGAGCCUUUGGUACACACCUCACAGAUAAAGAAGGCUCCACCUGUCAUGAAAUCCUGUACAAAUGCUGGAGAUCUCCAAAUCAAAUUGACUAGGAAGAGAAGCAGUGACAUCUGAGGCAGACAGCUUUCCAAGAUGACUGGAGCAGGCCUGUAUUCCCUUUCUCACUGUUGCUUCUUCUCAUUAUCUCUUUGGAAAGACAAUGUUCUUGUCUGCAUUUCCCAAACCCUUGUGAAAAUGGGAAAGCUCUUUUGAUUAUUGCCUUUUGGAAACAGCCUUAUCAUGAUCCUGUGACAAAUUAAUCUUUUCAGUUGCUUUUUAUGAAGGGUUAGAAAGUUCAGAAUUCACAGAAGUCUUUCUUUCAUCUGGCCUAUUAAAUGACUCUGGGUUCUUAUCCAAAUUCAAGGUCUCCAAAUUUGCAACCCUACAGGCUGUAUUAUUGGAUAACACAUUUGGUUCCCGAACAGUUUUAUUGAGAUAACAAGACUGUUUUAAUAUGUCUUGAAGUUUUUGCUAUUUUUGCAAAGAGUUCAUCACCUAUGGCUUCAUAUUUAUUCCUGCACUGUGUCUUCCCAAUGCACUUAGUUAAUUCUUUCAGUCUGAGUGUGCUCUUACUGUAUUUGUCGUUCUAUUUUCUCUUCAUAACAAAUCAGACGCCUCUCAUUGGUCCACCCCACUAAGCCUCUGUUUAGCUGGUUAACCUCAGGUUUGGGCUCCUAGUUUACAACUUGGAAUUGUCAUGUCACUUUUAAUUCUGUUUUGUAUAAUUAUUUUGUUUUGUAUUUUUUAAAAUGUUGUUGUUUUGCUGGGAAAGAUUGGCCCUGAGCUAACAUCUGUUGCCAAUCUUCCUCUCUUUUGUUUUCUCCCCAAAGUCCCAGUACACAGUUGUAAGUCCUUCUAGUUCUUCUAUGUGAGCUUCCACCACAGCAUGACUACUGACAGGAGAGUGAUGUGUUCUGCGCCUGGGAACUGAACCAGGGCCGCAGAAGCAGAGCACACCAAGCUUUAACCCCUAGGCUGUCAGGGCUGGCUCUUAAGUUUUUUAUUUUCUUGCCUGUCAAAUCUUUGUAAACAUGAUGUACACAAUAAGGUGAUGUUAGCUCAACAAUUUGAAAUAAUUUCCUAUGCUUAUGACCUCAGACAACUAUAGACUUUGAAUAACAGGUGCCUGAGAGCUCUCCCUCCUAACCUUCCUUGUUACUCAAAUGUGGCCUAAAUGAUUUCCAACUACUGUGCACUUUCCCUCCAGUGUGGGACACGACAACCGUGAAAGGUCCUUCCUGGCACUGAGGGACAAACCACUAAAUGCAGAAAUCCUGACUCUUGAUUAGCAAUGCUUUUGGAGAAAGAUCUUGAUCAAAGGGGAAAAAUGUGAAAAUUAAUAAAGAGAAACUUCAUUUAAAAUGGAGUUGGGGGCCAGCCCAGGGGUGUAGUGGUUGGGUUCCUGUGUUCCACUUCGGCGGCCCAGGGUUCAUGGGUUUGGAUCCUGAGCGUGGACCUGCACGCUGCUCAUUAAGUCACGCUGCAGCAGCAUCACACAUACAAAACAGAGAAAGACGGGUACAGAUGUUAGCUCAGUGUCAAUCUUCCUCAAGCAAAAAGAGAAGGAUUGGCAAUGGGUAUUAGCCUAGGGCCAACCUUCCUCAAAAAAAAAAAAAAAAAAGGAGUCAGGAGGCUGGAUAGGGGAUCUCUCACACAGUACCUCUCAAGGUCAGUUACAAGAAAGAUAGUCAAUUACAGACCCCAACAGAAAAAAGUCAUCAACAGGA
Molecule: long non-coding RNA, 2094 nt
Organism: Equus caballus (horse)
Lineage: Eukaryota; Metazoa; Chordata; Mammalia; Perissodactyla; Equidae
Source: Ensembl